Molecule: long non-coding RNA, 2382 nt
Organism: Equus caballus (horse)
Lineage: Eukaryota; Metazoa; Chordata; Mammalia; Perissodactyla; Equidae
Source: Ensembl
GUGUGGGGGAGGAUGGGCAGGCAGGCAGGUGGGCUAGGGCACGUGGGGCCUUGGAGCCAUGGCAAGGGCUUCUGUGCCUGGCAGAGCGGGGCUCAGAGCUGAAAAGGACCUGGCCCUGGUCGUGGGCUCAGAGUCUAACAGGGAAGCAGCUUAAGCAGAGAGUGGAAGUCGGGAGACCUUCGGGGAGUGUGGGGUGGGUCCCACAUGGGAAGACUCCUGAACGCGAGUCCUGAGCGCAGAGCACAGCUUAGACUGGCUAGCGGGAUGGGGUCAGAGUGUGUCAGUGUCGCAAACGAGUAGCUGCCUGUGUGAGCGUGUGGAGGCAGGAGAUUGGGGACUUGGCUGGGACAAAGAGAGGAGCCAGUGUGACGGUCGUUGAGUGGAGCCGAGGGAAGGUGCCGGGGAGGAGGUCUGUCCUGAUGGCAGCGUGAGGUGCAGGUGGGAGCAGAGAAGCUGGCGUCCCCUCGAGGGACAGGGCUGGGAGCUGGGAGCAGGGCUGAGGCGGUUGGCACUGACCCUCCUUAUUUGGACCCAGCUCCGAGGAGAGGCCUGUGGAUGAGUCCUACCCCUCACCUCUCUCUUCUCUUCUCCCCCUUUGCACUUGAGACUGGCGCUGACAAACAGCAGCUCACGGCGCGCUGGAAGACGCCAGGGUUUCAGGCUGGCUCCCGGGAGGUGCUGGUGGCCAGCAGGCUCUGUGCUGAGAAGUGCUGGGAGGCUCGGAGGAAAGCGUGCUGUCGUGGAUCUGUGACGCGGCCUCUGGCACGGCGGCGGAGAGGGAAGAGGCAGGAUUCGCCCCCUCUGGAGUGGCCUCUGGGUUCUCUGAGCUCUGACAGAGCUGCUUCCUCUUGCCUUCCCCUUGAGGCCAGCAUGCGUCAGUCUGUGUCUGCGAUGCCAGUGUCCGGGAGUGGAUGGGGAGGCUCUCUGGCUCCCCCUCACUGCACACAUAUGGGGCAGGGACUGGUGCCUGUGGAGGGGGCCUGGGGCCUGGCAGCACCUUAUUUCAGCCUGCCUCCCUGCUCUGCCCAGGUGGGGUACCUGUAGAAAGAGAACGCUGGCCUGUACCUGCCUGGACACCUUGCCCGGCCUGUGGCAGGUGAUCAGUGGUGCUGGGUGGCAGGAAGCCAAGGCAAUUGCUGGGCUCCUGGUGAGUUUCAGGCCAGGCCGUUUUCAGAGAACCUCUGUCUUUGCUGGUUUUGUCAUGGGUGGGGCCCCUCUCUGUGGGGCUGCGGUAGGUACAACAUCCACGAGGAGGGGACAGGCAUAAGCUCCGGGUGUCACAUCAUCUUUGACUUUGGAGCCAUAGAGCGUCUGGUCUGGGAGCCCCUGGAGGUCAUCUUGUCUUCCUUGCUGGGGUGUCCCUGGGCAGACACACAGACAGGGUCCAAAAGGGGUGGGGUCCAUCACGCUGGGGCUCCUGCCCUGGCCUGAGCAUGCCUGGCCAUCCAGGCCCCUGCCCCUUGGUGCUGCAGGGCCUGGGAGAGGCUCCUGGGCACCGUGGUGACCUUGACGCCCGACUUGCCCCUCGAGUUCCUCCUGCCGGUAGCCUGGCAGCUGCCAGUGCCGCACGGUUUGUGAAAUGUCAGUGCUUUAAUAUCAAUUCUGGAGGUUUUAUUGCCUUCCCCCCCAUUUUCCGAUGGGAUUUUGAUCCAAUCAAGACCGAUCCACAGCGACGGCAGAUUUGUGUUCCCGUCCGAAGUUGACAAAGGUCACCCUGCCUGGGGAGCGGGGCCGCUGUGGCUGCGCAGUGCGUGACUGCUCUCCCGCCCUGGCUCCAGGUCGGCUGCGCUUUCCCCCAGGAGAGCGGUGUCCGUGGGUGCGGCCGGCGCUGCUCCUCCUGGGCCUGUCACUGGGCCAAGGGCCCUGGGGCUUUAGGCUCGGGCAGUCGCCAGCCACAGAAUACCCUGGUUUUGUCUGCAAAACGUCUUUGAUGCUUCAGACUCAAAUUAAUUUUUCAUAGUAAUGUUUCAAAAUGUCAUUUUUCCCUUUAAAAAAAAAGCCGUUGAAUGAGACUCUCUGUUUGGGAGGAGGCCAGAGGUCAGGAGAGUCACAUUGGGCCACGCCAGCCUGUGCCCUAUCCUCCUGUCUCUGGCUCAGCUCCCUGCCUUCCCCAGAGGGUGGAACACCCUCUAGGAGGAACUCGAAAGGGGCAGGAACACCUGCUUGUCCAGGUGGGGGCUGGCAAGGGUGGAGAGUGGGUGCAAGAAUUUUGGUCAAGUUUUGAUCUUGCCCCAUGGCACUUUACAGACAUGAUAUUCCGAGACCCAACCCAGCUUGGCAAGCCUUUAGAGAGUGCCUGCGGUGUGUGUGGCACCCGAGAGGGUGGAGGGGAGAGGCAAGCCUAGACAGAGAGGACAGGUACUGGUGGGCCGGGUGUGUGGA